CAGUCGCCGCGGUAAUACGAAGGGGGCUAGCGUUGCUCGGAAUUACUGGGCGUAAAGGGAGCGUAGGCGGAUGAAUUAGUCAGGGGUGAAAUCCCGGGGCUCAACCUCGGAACUGCCUUUGAUACUGUUCAUCUUGAGUAUGGGAGAGGUGUGUGGAGCUCCGAGUGUAGAGGUGAAAUUCGUAGAUAUUCGGAAGAACACCAGUGGCGAAGGCGACACACUGGCCCAUUACUGACGCUGAGGCUCGAAAGCGUGGGGAGCAAACAGGAUUAGAGACCCGCGUAGUCCCUGUCUCUUAUAC
Molecule: ribosomal RNA, 301 nt
Filed under: uncultured bacterium
Lineage: Bacteria
Description: partial 16S ribosomal RNA
Rfam family: Bacterial small subunit ribosomal RNA
Source: RNAcentral